GACGAACGCUGGCGGCGUGCUUAACACAUGUAAGUCGAACGGUAAGGCCCUUCGGGGUACACGAGUGGCGAACGGGUGAGUAACACGUGGGUGAUCUGCCCUGCACUUCGGGAUAAGUCGGGGAAACUGGGUCUAAUACCGGAUAGGACUCCGGACUGCAUGGUCUGGGGUGGAAAGCUUUUGCGGUGUGGGAUGGGCCCGCGGCCUAGCAGCUUGUUGGUGGGGUGAUGGCCUACCAAGGCGACGACGGGUAGCCGGCCUGAGAGGGUGACCGGCCACACUGGGACUGAGAUACGGCCCAGACUCCUACGGGAGGCAGCAGUGGGGAAUAUUGCACAAUGGGCGCAAGCCUGAUGCAGCGACGCCGCGUGAGGGAUGACGGCCUUCGGGUUGUAAACCUCUUUCAGCAUCGACGAAGCGAAAGUGACGGUAGGUGCAGAAGAAGGACCGGCCAACUACGUGCCAGCCGCCGCCGUAA
RNAcentral lists this ribosomal RNA (478 nucleotides) under uncultured bacterium. RNAcentral's name for it is "partial 16S ribosomal RNA". It matches the Rfam family "Bacterial small subunit ribosomal RNA", at positions 28 to 523 of the family's 1533-position model. The record is from RNAcentral.